GUGUCAUUUGAAAGGAGAGCAGGUUAGCACUCCCCUUGACAAGGAUGGAACACACAAUCUGAGAUCAGCAGGCACUCAGAGAGAAGCUGAUCUCGGCCAUUUUUU
Non-coding RNA from Anopheles atroparvus, 105 nucleotides. Lineage: Eukaryota; Metazoa; Arthropoda; Insecta; Diptera; Culicidae. The record is from Rfam.